Penaeus vannamei (Pacific white shrimp) is the source of this 617-nucleotide non-coding RNA. Lineage: Eukaryota; Metazoa; Arthropoda; Malacostraca; Decapoda; Penaeidae. The record is from RefSeq and is a predicted model, not a curated record.
AUUUCACUUUCUCCUCUUUUGUCCCGCAGACGUCCCAUAACUUCGUCUUCGUCCACGAUUUGGUCUCCACGGUCGCUCUGCCCUCGGACUACCAGGAACCUUCGAAUGGGACUAUUUGCACGGCCGUCGGAUGGGGCUACACGGUGGAAGGCGGAGACGUGAGCAGCGACCUGCGCUACGUGGACCUCCCUUACCUGACGGACGAGGAGUGCAGGACAUCUACGGGGAGGACUCCGUCAUGAUCGAAUGAUUUGCGCUGGCUUCCUCGGCGGCCAAGGAGUGUGCAACGGCGACUCGGGCGGACCCUCUCUGCGACGGCGUCCAGCAGGGCAUCGUGUCCUGGGGCUCCGGCUGCGACGCCUACCCCGCCGUCUACACGCAGGUCUCGCACUACCUUGACUGGAUCAAAAUUAACAUGGAAGCUUAAGUCGCGUAUCAAACUAGCCCAUUUUCGCUGAUUUCUGACAUAAACAACUCUUUUGAGGUCGUGCUUCACAUCCGGCUUUAUAAGCGAAGAUUAAUCUCAAAAUCGUAAAUUUGGAUGGCAAAAGCUCAAGCAUCUUCUAGAAAAUCUGAUUUACAUUCCAUGUCAGAAAGAAAACAACAGUCUGAUCCUC